UACUCACCAGUUCCGGCUGCUGCUGGAGUGCUUCGCCUUUAGUCCUGGAAAGGUCACAGAGGAAUCUGAGAACUUGAUUCUUCGCGUAGUUAGGUUUGAGUCCCACUUUCUUGGGCUUUUCACUUCCUCCAGCUGGGCCAGCGUGAGGUCUAGAGACUAAGACCACUCCAAGCAAGAAGCAAGGACAAUACCAAACCCCAAGUCUCCAGAUG
Molecule: long non-coding RNA, 212 nt
Organism: Fukomys damarensis (Damara mole-rat)
Lineage: Eukaryota; Metazoa; Chordata; Mammalia; Rodentia; Bathyergidae
Exons: 3
Source: RefSeq, a predicted model, not a curated record